CGAGUGGCUUGGUCUUGGUCACAU
RNAcentral lists this non-coding RNA (24 nucleotides) under Arabidopsis thaliana (thale cress). Lineage: Eukaryota; Viridiplantae; Streptophyta; Magnoliopsida; Brassicales; Brassicaceae. The record is from RNAcentral.